Molecule: ribosomal RNA, 572 nt
Filed under: Chilomycterus reticulatus (spotfin burrfish)
Lineage: Eukaryota; Metazoa; Chordata; Actinopteri; Tetraodontiformes; Diodontidae
Description: partial 16S ribosomal RNA
Rfam family: Bacterial large subunit ribosomal RNA
Source: RNAcentral
CGCCUCUUGCAAAUAACAACAUAAGAGGUCCCGCCUGCCCUGUGACUAUAUGUUUAACGGCCGCGGUAUUUUGACCGUGCGAAGGUAGCGCAAUCACUUGUCCUUUAAAUGGGGACCUGUAUGAAUGGCACGACGAGGGCUUAACUGUCUCCUCUUUUAAGUCAAUGAAAUUGAUCUCUCCGUGCAGAAGCGGAGAUACGCCCAUAAGACGAGAAGACCCUGUGGAGCUUCAGACACCAAAACAGACCAUGUUAAAGACCCCAAAAUAAAAGGCCAAACUUAAUGCCCCCUGCCUUGAUGUCUUCGGUUGGGGUGACCGAGGAGAAGAACACAACCUCCAUGAGGAAUAGGAGUACUACUCCCACAGCCAUGAACCCCUGUUCUAACCACCAGAAUUUCUGACCUUACGAUCCGGCAACGCCGAUUAACGAACCAAGUUACCCCAGGGAUAACAGCGCAAUCCCCUUUUAGAGCCCCUAUCAACAAGGGGGUUUACGACCUCGAUGUUGGAUCAGGACAUCCUAAUGGCGCAGCCGCUAUUAAGGGUUCGUUUGUUCAACGAUUAAAGUCCU